RNAcentral lists this ribosomal RNA (560 nucleotides) under Pleurostoma repens. Its description in RNAcentral is "partial large subunit ribosomal RNA". It matches the Rfam family "Eukaryotic large subunit ribosomal RNA", at positions 62 to 648 of the family's 3401-position model. The record is from RNAcentral. Lineage: Eukaryota; Fungi; Ascomycota; Sordariomycetes; Calosphaeriales; Pleurostomataceae.
AAACCAACAGGGAUUGCCCCAGUAACGGCGAGUGAAGCGGCAACAGCUCAAAUUUGAAAUCUGGCCUCGGCCCGAGUUGUAAUUUGCAGAGGAUGCUUCUGGCGCGGCGCCUUCCGAGUUCCCUGGAACGGGACGCCACAGAGGGUGAGAGCCCCGUAUGGUCGGACGCCAAGCCAGUGUGAAGCUCCUUCGACGAGUCGAGUAGUUUGGGAAUGCUGCUCUAAGCGGGAGGUAUACGUCUUCUAAAGCUAAAUACCGGCCAGAGACCGAUAGCGCACAAGUAGAGUGAUCGAAAGAUGAAAAGCACCUUGAAAAGGGGGUUAAACAGUACGUGAAAUUGUUGAAAGGGAAGCGCCUGUGACCAGACUUGCGCCGGGCGGAUCAUCCAGCGUUCUCGCUGGUGCACUCCGCCCGGCUCAGGCCAGCAUCGGUUCUGGCAGGGGGAUAAAGGCGGCGGGAAUGUGGCUCCCCCGGGAGUGUUAUAGCCCGCCGUGUAAUGCCCCUGCCGGGACCGAGGUUCGCGCAUCUGCAAGGAUGCUGGCGUAAUGGUCACCAGCGAC